Molecule: long non-coding RNA, 13222 nt
Organism: Gallus gallus (chicken)
Lineage: Eukaryota; Metazoa; Chordata; Aves; Galliformes; Phasianidae
Exons: 6
Source: RefSeq, a predicted model, not a curated record
CUCUGUGGGAGGAAAUAGAAGAGAGUGAUUCUAAGGUCAGGAAAUGUCCAGCAAGGGAUGCGUGGAGUGAAUUGAUUUAUCUUGUAUCAAGUGAAAUGUUUUUAUUUGACCUGAUGUGAUAAACAGUGUGUUCAUGUUUGCUGAAGACUUUGUUUCACAUCCGCUGAAGACAAUGUGUGUUGGCUUUUUUUUUUUUUUUUAAUUCAGUUACUGAAACAGAAAGGGACUUUCUUAGCACAAUCCAUCUGUGAUCUGUAAAUGAGCUACUAAAAUUUUGAGGGUGAGCCAGAUUUUUUUCUUGCUUCAGAAAGUCCUUUCACCACAGUCUGCAUACUGUGUCCCCCGUGGAUUGUGUAGUUAAAGCAGUAUUCAUCCGUCUGCAAACAGCACUCUGGAGAAUCCCUAAAUGGAUUGAUCCUCUGGGAGCGUCAGUCUGCAAAGAUGGAUGGGACAAAGAUCGAAAGCUGAAUCCUUAAGCUGCUGGUGCUACUGAGGGCUGCCCUGAGGAUUUCCCAGAUUAAUGACAAGGCAUCCCCUACUGAAGGCUUCUACACCUAGACAUUGGCAGAUACUAAAAUCAAUGUGUGCAGAACAUGAACUCGGCAAACAUGAGAGCAAGAGGAAUCCAGAGAUUAAAAAUGGCACUGGGCGUGUGAGUGACAGUCAACUGUUUGCACAGUAUCUUUCAAAAGGAGACCUAUAUAAUGUAUGUUCAACACGGAGCUGUCUUUGGUUAACAGCGGAGCAGGAGCAUUUAUCAGUUCCACCCGUUAGACCACAUCUAAAAUUCAGGCAUCUAAAAGGCACCACUGCGGGAACGUUUGUGAACAAACCCGGACUGAGUGAUUUUCCUCAUCAUGGCAUAGGACACUGGAGUAAAUAACCUUGGGGCUCUGGAGCACCCUGGCUGGACUGCUGCUUUUGUGGUCACUCUGUGCCCCGACAAAGGCAUCUGUUGGCUUUUCCACUUCUAAGGUAGAAGAGCUUCGUAUGGAAAUUCUCAACCAUUCUCAAGAUAUGUCCAUCAUGACAAAGGUAAUGAAGAGAGAAGGAAACGUAAGUGUAAAACUCUUAGUUCUUACGUUGAAAAAACCACUGACCCCUCUUGGAAAUACACUGGAGAGACUUAAGAGGCAUGCAUCUCUGUGUUCAUUUUGUGCUGCAUGGCAUGAAUGUUUCUUUGUUUCAGGAAAGAGCUGGCCUGUUAGCGCACUGCUCAGAGAGAUCUCUCUGUUGCUUAUCAAUAGCCAUAAUAUUGAUUUAUUUUUCUCUUUAUGAAUUCUUAGCUUGAAGAUUGAAGUUUCUCUGGUGCCUCCUGGGAGCUAUUUCUAAUUUUAAGACUCUGUCCUUGUGCUUCACACAGAAGCACCCGAGGUGUGGAGCAGUCUCUGAAAUCUGCUCCCUAAUGACCUGGAAUAGAGCUGAAUUACUCAUUCCUUCAAUGCUUUGAGAUAAGUCAGAAAACAAGGACAAACGUGCAGAGUGAGUGAAAUCUGUCUGAAGGUCAGAAAGAGAAGAGAGGCCGGGUAGGAAGUUCUGUAUCUUCUGGCAAGAUUUAAAUUUUUCAUGUGGAAGUCCAAAAUACUAAAGAAUUGUGAUAAUAUAUUCUGUUGAGUGGAAAAACAAAAACAAAUCCCACAUACUUACAGCAGUAGGAAUACUUAACAUAGUUCCCAAGCAACCAGAUUCUGAUGAGUAUUUUAAACCCUGAACCCUCAGGAAUUCUCCUAAACUAUUGUUUCGUUCUCAAGGAAAGAGGGAAGAAAGUCAGAAAGAUUCUGUUUUCUUUUCAGAGUAGAUUUCUAAAAGACUAGUUGAUGCAGAAAUGUUUGGCUUCUAGCACAAAUACAGCAAGGAUGGGAGAAUUCUGAAUAACAGUUUAACCCACUCCUAGCUGCACACAAAUAUGCAGACAUAUCCCACGUGUGAAGUUCUUUAGCCUUAAGGAGAGGAUCAUAUAAGCAGCAGGGAAAACUUUUCACAUAUACUCCUUCACUGAGAUUUUAGCAUGGAGGUAGACUGCAACAAUUAAGGCUGAUUUAGCCUGUUAGGUUUUUUUUUUGUGUGUGUGUCUAAAGUUUAUCCAGGGAUGCCAUUUACAUCAUCCUCUGAUGGGUCUGCGUGGUAGUUCUGGGACAGAGAUAUUGCCUCAGUUAAUUCGAGCUGUUAAAACCAGAAUGGCACAAAACUCAUUCAUUAGAUGCUACAAAUGAUGAGUAGAAUGACCCCGUGGGAAAUGAAAGGGGUUACUGAAGAUACUGUGCUGGAUCAGAGGUGGCAAUUACCAGAUAACUUUUGCAUUCAGUCAUUGCUUCUUUCCAGGUGGAACUGUAAGAGUACCGUAUUUUCAAGCUAGGCUAUUUGAAACACGUAAGUGAUGUUAAAUUAUAGAAGUGUAAUAGGAUAAUUAUUCAAAAUGCAAGGGGAAAAAAAGUUUGGAAGGCAAAUAAAAAGAGGAAUCUGCUAGUGGGGGUGUUUGUCCACUGGAUCUGUGUGCCUCUGUGCUGAGGCUGCUCAGAGCAGUGUUGGGAUGGAGAAGAAAAGCAUUCCACCCGCAGUGCGUGCUGUUCAUAUGACUGCAGGACGCGAGCGAGGCACUUUCCUACACUUGAUGUGCAUUCCCAGAAUCCAUGUCACAAACGGGCCAGGACAGAAUAUUCUCAAGGAAAAGAAGCUGGCAACAUUUCAAACUAUUCUGUGUGCUCUGGAAUAUAGGCAGCUCAAGCAGACACUUGAUAAAGCGCUUAUGCCCUGGUAACUUCUCACAGGUAAGAGUUCCCUUCAUCACGCUCCCUAGAGCAGCCUGACAGUGUGCUGAAACAGGAUCUAGGAGAAAGUUUGCAGUUUGCACGUUACAAUGUUUGAGGGUACUUGAAGCUUUUUAUCCUGCCUUCCUGCACACUGAAAUCUGUUGGGAUCCACGUUCACUGCAAGGAGGCUCCUCUGUCAGUUCUGUCAGUGCCCAUGGCAAAAGCAGUGUAGUUUUCUAAAUGCUCCAAGCCCACCUUGUUACUAGGGAAUGUUUUGGAGAGAAAUGGAAAGAAAAUGCAGAAUUCUGAAGUUAUUUUUGAAUGUCCUUCUUUUCUGCCUCACCAAGUCCAUCUCUCCCCUCUUGCUAUUUAACCCUGGAGUCUAACAGCCAUAUCUCCCUAUUGAUGCUUCUGCAGUUAUUUCCCCCUCAUGGUUACUUACCCGAUUUCCAGUGUCUUUUCUUCUGCCUCCUUUCCUUGCUUUAGCUCUUUUCCUUCCUGUAAUUGAGUUGAAUCCUUCGUUCUUCUCAGUUGCUUGGUUUUAUUCCUUUGGUAUGGUCCUCUCUCUCUCUUCCCCUCUUUUUCUCCACCCCCUUUCCAUGUCACUUUCUGUCUUCCCCACCGCCCCUCUGCCUUUCCCCUUCUUUCUUCACCUACUUUUCUUGUCUCUCCCACAACCUCCAACUUAAUCUUUCUAUUUUCAAACCUAGUUUCCUCUUGUUUUUCCUUUUAAAGACCAUGGGUUUUAUUCCUCCCUCUCCAUUCUCAGCCUCUCCCUCUGCCACCCUCCCUAUACUGACAGGAUGCAGUCACUGCUGCCUUCUCCCUGUCCCUUCCAGUUGCCGCUGCCGCUGCUUGUUACACCUCCUCCCCCAGAUAACACGCCAUGGUCUAAGUCUUCCUUAGACGAAAAGAGAAGGGGUUGCCCCACAGCUACCCCAGCCAGAACCUGAAGAUGUUCUUCUGCACAGGACGUCAAUGAAGGAUAUAUAUAUAUAUAUAUUUUACUCAUUCAGGAUUAAGCAAAGCAGAAUUUGUGAGGAGUGAGGUCCUAACCUCUCCAAGGAAGGAGCUGGAGCAUAGCUACUGCCUUGUCCCAUAGGGCACUUAGUGCUUCCCAGGGAGGUGUCCCAGGUGCCCUUACAGAUGCGUAGAGAGCAACCUGCCUGUCAGGUGAGGUGGUUUUUGGCAACCUCCCACGUUCCUAUAUACACACACACUCUGAAGCAUGAGCAUUUGGGCUUUUCUUAUAAAUGCUUUUGGCAUACUGAAGUCUUGCAUUUUACGUACAUGUCAGAUUGAGCUUCUGAAUCCUGUACAUUGGGCCAAGAGAUGAGGGUGAAUUGGAAAUACCUUUUGGCUUUGAUAAAGGCUGGUCUGAAAGAAUCAGUGUCAGGAGCGUGUGAUUUGCUUAGAAGACUGUUUUGCUACGCACGAGCUUUGGCUGGUGUUCCUCUAGCAGUCCUUCCCGGACUAGGUAUCUCCCAUCCAGAACAUAACUCCCCAGUUGUGUCUGUACAGCAGCUAGUGUAGAUCAUGAAGCAAAGGUAGCCCUGAGACUAAACCACAGGACUAAUAGCUCUUCUAAUCUAGUCAUUGUUCUCCUGCAAAUUUAGUGCCCCUUAAUUUAAAAGAUUGGAGGCCAGGCUAUGCAGGGAUAGAGCUGUGCAGAAGCUACUCUGGAUUCAUGCCCUGCGUGGGCGCUCUCACCCUGAAGCUAAGAAUGCACCUCCUUUUCAGGAGGGCAAAUCUCCCUCCUGCUAAAUCCUCACUGAUGACUACUGCAGGACGUGCAGUACGCUAACAUAACAGUUCAGUGAACUGAUAUCGAGAAACCAAUAAUUGUUUGCCACUGCAUUUCUAACUUUAUUGAAGGGUCUCCUAUGACUUCAAAGAAAAUAGGAAUAUUUCUGGAGUUGAGUUUCUCUCUCCUGCAUAGCAGUAUUAUACCUGUGAUUAUCCCAUUGAUUUUAUGCCACUGAAACUGUCGAGCAUUUCAUCACAGAGAUAUCCAAAACAGGUGUUAGUAAUACAGCUCUAGCUUGUAGACGGCUUUGGGCUUGUCAGGUAUUUCUCACAUGCAGUUCCUAUGAGCAAGCUGUCUGAAAUGCAACAUAUGCUCCCUUCCUUGCUGAACCUUUGUUGUACGCUCAGGAUAGUCAGAUCUGAUUGUUCUUCAUCAUUCCUUUGUAUUUCUUACCCGAGCAUUGUUCCAGUGUAGCAUGCUGUUUCCCCUAAAAUCAAAGAGAUCUGCUGUAGUUCUAUUGAUGAAUACAGGAAGAAGGUUUCUAUCAAAUACACACAUUGUGCAUGAGGUGACUGUUAUGAGCUUUUUUUUCUUUUUCUUUUUUUGGUGAUGAUGGGAUCUGUUUGAAUUUUGAUGCACAGAACAGAAAUGGGUGAAGGCCACGUGGGAUGCAAAAGACAGGAGAGUGGAGAUGCUGUAUGGAUGCCUCUGCCAGACCCUCAGUGUGCCCUUCCUCCUCUACUGCCACCUCUUUUGAGGAAAACAAAGGCAGCUUUUCCAGCUCCAUUGGUAAGCUGGGAAGAAGGAUUUUCCUCCCUUCCCCAGGCAACUGCUAUGCAAAACUUCUAUGGCUUGAAUGAGGAGAUCAAGUGGAAGAGAAUAUUCCCCUAGAUAGUGGGAAUGAGAUGAACAGCUGACAGUUGCUGUGUGCAGCUUGCAAAUCGCAGCAGUUUGUAGUGCUGUAGAACUACUAGAACACUUUGAAGAAAAGAACACUUUGCAGGAAAGGAGAAAUACAGGAGGUAAGGGAAAAAUAGAACAACAUACACACUGUAUCUACCUAGACUUCAGUGAGGCACAAGAUAUGGUGUCCCAGAAAAAAAACAACGAAUUAAUGCAAAAGAUUCAGCUGAAGAAGGCAGGGAUUAUUAGAGAAAUCCUCAAGUGAGUAAGAGACUGAUGGGAUUGAGACACCGGUUCCCUAACAAGCUGAAGGGAAGUUAGCUGUGAGGCUGAUCAAAGAUUGUACUUAGGACUGAUCUUUCUAAAUGCUUGUGUUAAUUGCUUUGGCACCAAAAGUAGAAAUGCUACUGAAAUCUGCUGAUGUAGGAAAGCUGGGAGGUAUUGUCGGGGAAGAGGUGGAUUCCCGCACCAGGAGAACUGAAGGUUCUUUCUGACUGGAAUGACUGAGGUGCGGUUUAAAUGGGAAAACACAAAGUCACACACAGUAAGACCUUGCUGCUGGGAGCGUGAGGAAAAUUAGCGUCUGGAAGUUCCUAGCUGGCACGACAGAGAAGGGGAAAGUCCUGGGCGAAGGUCACCGGGGGAGGAACCAGCGAUGGGAUGUGCAGGUGAAAAUGGCAGGUAUGCUCCCAGGACACAGCAGUAUUUUCACUUGCAGCAGCUAAGAUUAAUGUUGUCCAAGAGGAUGUGAGACCCUCACCAGAGCAGUGUGUGCAGUGCUCGCCCGUGUUCAAGAAAGAUGUUCAGCUUGGAACAGGUGCAAAGAAAGGCAUCAGGGUGAUCAGAGGAAUGGAAAGUGUCUCUCAGCCGACAGUGUGUUUACUCAUCAGUCACAGAAGUGACUACAAAUAAAUAUUCCAACUGAUUUGAAAAUAGAUGAGAUACAAGUACAAGCUUUCCUACAUUCAUUAUUUCGCACUGAACUUCACGUUACUGCAGCUACCUGAAGUAAUUAAAACACAGCAUGACGUGCCUGCAGGGUGAAUACUACAAGGGAGCAAAGGUUAAGAGAGGAGAGAUUUGCUGCCUAUAAAUACUUCUCAGAGUUGGGGGUUGGGCGAGUAAGUGCUAGGGAGAGUGAAGAGCUACAUACACUAAAGGACAAUGUGGCAUAAGAAUAAAUAGAUAUAAAUUGGCCAUGAAUGAAUUUAGGUUGGAAAUCAGAAGGUUUCUAAGCAACAGGGCAGAGAAGGAGGUGCUGGAACAGCAUUCUAGUAACAGAAGUGAGGGCGGAAACCUAAUGAGAUUUAGGAUAGAGCUUAGUAAGUUUAGAAAAGGCCAUUUGUUUUGUACUCGCCUGUUACUCAAAGGGAUUGAAGCUGAUAAGCCAAGAGGUCCCUUUUUCAUUCUAUUUCCCGCACUUCCCUUAUUGCCUUAUCAGAACUGCUCCUUUUCACGCAGAAGCCGGGUAAAUCCUGCACAGAGUUUCAACGUGAUGAGUUUUUCAGCAUUGAUGCCAUGGUUAUUUAAUGGAGUAUUCACUCUGCGUCAGGGAUUUAAACAAACAACGAGAGCAAGCCGACACAAUGCACGGAGAAGGUCUGCAAACAUGCAGUAAUAUAGAUGAGAGCUCAGAUAGGGAAGAGCUUCUUCACAUAAAGCAGAUGCUCUUGCAGCAUCUGGCUUUGCUGGAAGGCUGUUUCAAAUGUGGGUAAGUGUUCUCCUGAGAUUUGAGAACUUCAAGAGAUUGCCUGAAAGUAAAAUAUCUUGUUCUGUCCUGCUGUUACAGAGGGGUUUGUGCCUGGGGAAUAUAUCAGAUUUACUGCCCUGGGAAAUUUCGGACACCUCUCUGUCACCGCCAAUGGCUGAGACAGAAAAUUCUUGUAGGUAUGUUAUCUCCCAUGCCUGGCCAGCAUUGCAGUUACUCUGUUUCUUUAUAUUGUCGCAUGCUGGGCAGACACAGCUAGGUACCUUCACUCAAAUGCCUGUGGAUGCUGCCUUCCUGGCGAAGCUGUUUAUCGAAAAUCCCCUGGCAUGGGUAUGAUUGAAAGAGAAGAAGAGGGAAAGAAGUUCUCAGUUAUAGAUUAGACCUCCGGAGACAGCUUGGAGGCAUCUUCCAGCAAAAGGCAAAUUCCCAAAGACAGGCCUGGCCCAAGGGAGCAGGAGCAGCAUGCAAUGGUAGGUCCCCAAAUGAUGGGCUAGUUUUAUGGUCGCUAUUCCCCUCUUAGUAAAAAAAAUCCCCAUUUAUCUCACCGUAUGUGGACAUUUUCCCAUCGAUUUCUUUCCAGCCUGUAUUGGGUUUGAGUGGCAAUCUUUUUGUAGUGAAGAGGCUGCAGAGGUGGCCUCUAUGAGCAGAGCCCAGUGCUGCCCCACAUCAGAGCAAAGCAGCUCCAGCUGCUCCAACAGAGAGGCACUGCUGCCAGAGCUAUCUGUGAGCAACGCUGGGUGUGCUCUGGGAGAGGAGUUAAGGAAGGGAAAAUCUGCUGUGCAACAGCAGCUGAGAGUGAGGGGUGAGAGAUGUGAGAAGAACAGCCCUGCAGGCACCCAGGUCAGUGCAGGAGGAGGGCAGGAGGCGCUCCAGGCACACAGCAGCAGUUCCCUGGAGCCCAGGGGAGGUCUGUGGUGGAGCAGGAGGUCUGGAAAAGCAUGGGUGGUGACCAUGAAGGAACAGCAGAGAUGAAGGACUAUGAACUGACUGCAGCCCCUGUUCCCCUAUACUGCUCAGGGAGAGGAGGUAGAAAAGGGUGAAUGGGGUUGAAGUGUGAUUUUAGUUUGCUGUUAUCUUCUCACAACUCUAGUUUAUUAUUAAUAAGCAAUAAAUUAGAUUAAUCUCCGUACACUGGGUCUGUUUUGUCCAUGAUGGUAACUAGUGUGAGCAGUCUCCCUGUCCUUAUCUCAACUCGUGAGCUCUUUUUCAUUGUGUUUUCUUCCCUUUGUCUUUUGAGGAAUGAGGAAGGAGAGAGGAGUUUGGUGGCGUUGAGCUGCCCAUCAGCAUGAAACCACCACACAGCUCAGAGUACCAGAAGAAGAAAAGAGGAAACAAGAAACAACAAGGUGUGAAAUAUCACUGUGUGCCAGCAUCACCUGCCAAUAAAGUUUUCAGCAGGAAAAACUGGAAGAGGACUUCAUCUCCCUGAGAAGAAAUGACCAUCUACCCCAAACUGGAGGAACCAAACCGUGGAGAUCCUAAGAGAUUUGUCCAAGGGAUGAACAAGCCAUUUUCAAGCAAGAAAUCCUCAUCCACCCAGCCACCAGACAUUCACUUUGUCCUGUAAAUUUCCACCUAGAUGAACUACUGCUUCACACAAAUACAGUAUGCAUACAUAUGUACAUAAAUAUGUUUCACAAAGUGAGAAGAAAAGAAAGAGCAGACAGUUACCUCUUUUUGCAGAGCCUGCACAGGUGGAGGGAGGAGCGGGUGGCUGACUGAAGUGUUUGCUUCAGCACAGCCCCUCUGUCUCACUGCACCCCACCUCUCCGUCCCCGUUCGGCUCCCAGAAGAGAUUCGUGUCUGAGGGAGGGCGCGUUGGGCAGGUGAGCACACCCCAGUCAGCUCCCUGGAACUCAGCCUCCUGCUGUGGUCUGACACGGGCUCACUGGCCAGAGAUUCCCUCCAGCCUGAAGGACCAAUGCUGGAGGAGACUGGCUCCCGAGCUGUUCCUGACAUGCACUGGCAGCUGUCUGCCUGCCAUUCUUUUAAAGAGUCUUCGUGGAUCAGGAUAAAAAUGUGAUCUUACGCAGGCGGCAUUGUAAGCACAACUUGGCUCAAGUUCAGCUCUUCCUCUGGCUCCCAGCUACUCUAUUUUUAAUGAAGGAAUUUGAGGCUAUCAGAAAGGAAGUCAAAUUGUUUUAGGAAAACAAUAGAAAAGCAACUUAAAGUUUAUUAGCUUCCUGCCCAGGGCCUGGGACCAACUUGUCAAACUUAUUAGAGUGAUGGCAGAGCUAUUUAUUUAAAAGGGCCAGAGACAAGACUCACAAUUUCAUUCCUGUUUAGGCCUUGGUGAAAACAAAGGAAAGCCAUAAAAUAAUAUCUGAAGGGAGCAGAUGGCUAACUGGUGAGCGGUGCGAGCAGAGCUAGUCUCUGAGCCAUUCAUGGUGUUGACCAGUGCAAUGGCUUUAGUUGGAUUUUGUUAUCGGGUGAGUGCCCAGCCUGCAUUCACAUUUCAGCCCCAUCACCCCAAAUUCCUUGUUGUGGUCCAAGUUGCAAAUCGAAAUCUCCCACCUAAGGUUGUUAGUGUGGCAGGAAAAGGUCUUCAGUUAGAGCUACUGGAAGGCGCAAAACAAUACAGAAGGUCUGUAAAAGAGCCAGGAAUAGAACCCAGGUGUCUUUGAUCCUGUUGGACUUGCUGAGCCCCCCAACUAUAAAAAUAUUUAUAUCCUUCAGAAGCAGCUGCAGUCUGCUUCUCUGUUUAGCUGCCCCAAAGUAGCAGUGACAUUAAGUCAUUGAACACAUGCAGGCAUGCGGCUAUGGAGAAGAAUAGGCAACCAAACUAUUAGACUCACAAGCCAAAAAUGUCCAUGCUGUCUCACUCUUUUUAAGGAGUUUCAUUAUUGGUAAAGAAACGAGAAGAGAAUAGAACGAAUUACUGAGAAGCACUUACAAGCUCUUCUUAAUGAAAAACCAUACCCCUUUUUCAGGGGGCUCUCUGCUAAUUGAGAUUUUAGCCUGCUUCCCAGGGUCAUAUAGGAAGAACUCACCUUUCCUUUCAGUGGUGCAGCAGUAGUCUCUAGAAAGUCACACGCUGAGAGGCACUGAGCACACAGAGCUGUGCAUGAAAGCUUUGAACAACUCAGUAACUGCUUUUCAGAUGAAAGGAAGAAGAUCCCACCUCAAAAAUUCUCUUCCUACUCCUCCUCAUUAGCUUAAAUGAAAGCGGGAAUGCACAACUACGGUGAUCUCCGAGGCCUGGGGCAAUAGUGCAUCUUGCAUUGGCAAGUGAUAGAAAGUUUGGUUUAUGUUUUCUUUUAAUUUAGCCAGGUUAGAUGCUUAUUAAACUACUGCUUAUUAAACUACUACUACUAUUUAAGAUAAACUGCAUCUUAAACUUAAUCAUUUUAAUGUAAAUACAACUGCCUUGCAUUUGCAUUCAAUUUAUACUUACCUUGCUUGUAAGGUAUUCUUACAGCUUUCAGAAAGUUUCUCUAAUUACUGUCCCUUAGAGAUACUUCCUUGGUAAACAAAGCAGCCAAGAAAAGCUUAGAAAGUGCCGUAUCCUAAUUUAUUGCAGACCGUAGACGUUUACUUAUUUUUCAGUACAUUCUUGAGUUGCAUUGACUUCAGCGAGACUUAAUAGUCUUAAUAGCGGAAGUCGACCGCCCUGCAACGCUAACCAGGACAGUUUUGCUGGGGGAAUUCUGAGCAGAAAGCAGCUAGCCAAUAUACUUCUCAGCUGCCUCUGUUGUAAGGGAUGCCACAUGUAAAUCAUGUGAUGACAAAGGGAAAUAUUUCAUUUGCACUUACUUAGAAUCUGUGUCAUCUGAACUGGCAUCGUAUAAUUCAUACUUUGUUCUAAUAAUCAGGAACCCCAUCUGUAUGCUGUGAGAAUCUUUAUGUCACUCACUCACGCUGUUGGACUCAGUAAACCCUGAGGCUGGGAUCCUGCAGAGGGCUUGAUCAUGUAAGUGGUAUAGUUGCAUCUUGUGGCCAUUCAUGUGCGUAAAAGUCCUUCUGUGCACAAAUGUAAUUGAGUGGACAAUGCUGUAGAUUGUAGAAGCUCCUCUUUUUUACUAUCAAGAGUCAUUCUGGUUUCCCAGAAGCUUCUGGGAUGAUAAAGGUUGCCAGCCAGCUGGACAUGUGGACGUUGAGGAACAUUUCACAUUGGUCAGCUGCACAUGCUGCCAUGUGGGGCCAGUGCCAGCAGCUAGUUCCUGGGCUGUGCUCUCUCAUAGAGGGGUUAGAUAGCUGUGGUACUGCCCCAUGUCCCAGAUGUAAAGCCUGAGCUUAGAAAAAGGCUGCUUAAGUGACACUACCAGUGUAGAAAGAAUCGCAGACAUGUGUCUUGUUAUAAAGAAACCUAGCUUUGUAGUGUGUUAGAAGGAACUUGGUCUGUGCCAGACAUUGCUGGGGGCCAGAGAAAUCAGGACUCGAGCUAUCCCUGGAAGUCAACUUCAAAGGAAGAAGCAGUAAAAGGAUAUGAGGGAAAAGAGACGUGCUUGAAUGGGGGUCCGGGUGAAGCUGAAUGGUAGACAGUCUGAGUUAUGGAAGAAAUCUCAGAUGGUGCUUACAGCUCCCAGCUAGCUUGUUCUCUUCUGUGAUGGUAUGAAAGCAUUUCAAGACAUGAUCUCUUGUGUAAAGUUAAAAGCUUAAUUAGUGCAUAAAUUUCUGACUGAUAGUUCUCACUAAUUCUAUGAUGUGUGUUGGCUGGAUUCUGAAGCCUUCUGUGAACAAUGAAAAUUAGAGCAAAUGGAGGAGGCAGGAGUACACUGCUGGCCCAAGGAGAAUAGAGAGGUGCAUUUUACAUUAGAAGACCAAAUAUUCAUGUGCUAUAUGCACACACAUGUAUACACACACGGAAUGAAAGUAUAUUUCAAAAGAAAUAUACUUGGCAAGAGCUCACAAAGGAGCCCAAUUCCCAGCAAUGCCGUGAUGUCUAAUGAACUUCUGUUUCCAGAAUAUGCCGUGAGAUCAACUAGAGCCAUGCAAGGGAUUCAGGCCACUCUGGUGCUCAUGCAGCACCUUCAGUGUGGCUGCAUAAAGGCAAAUAAUCACAGACAUGCAUUCAGCACCUAUGCGUUAAGAUGGUGUCCUGAGUAGUUUCUAGAGGAAAGCUUGGAAGAUAUUUGUAUUGAGUUUUGUAUUCUGGGAGGGUGAAGGAUUUGGUCAAUUGAAGUCUCCUUAAUUGUACUUCUGGACACCUGGUUUUCCUGGUAAAAUGCACAGCCCAGCUGCCCAGGAGAGGUGACAGUCGGCAGAGGAAGCAGGUGUGCAUGUUAGUCACCGACAGCCACAAAGGCGAGGAAGUGGCUGCCAUCCAUGCUGGAACUUCAGGGCUCUACAGGUGGCCAUGGCAGCACCCAUAUGUGAAGCUGUGAGGGCUGGCUUGGUGCUAGGGAAUCUUCUGAGCACUGAAGUACUGCUGAUGGUCUCAAGUAGGGCAUUCUCCACUUAGAUAAUUUCACUGAAAUUCUCUCGCCUUACUCUUCAUGAGCAACCUGAUGAUGCAGCCUGCUGUAAUCCUCACUACUGACUGACGUCUAUAAAUCCAGGCACUGCUUUCUCACCGGAGUUUUGCAUGCUGUAUGUUCUUGCUUUUAUUGCUGGUGGAAGUUAAGAUGAAGAGCGACCAAGGGGCACAUAGCAGAAAACCAUACACAAAAUUGCUAGCCUGAAUUGAGAUGUUUCUUUCGUGGGUUUCACCUCUCUGAUUUUGUGAGCUGCUGGUGCAUAAAUCUGGAGGUAACACUUGACAAGUAGGUGUUGUCAGCCAGGAGUGUGGUAUAUUGCUGUUGUUUAUUAUUUUUCAUAAAAUCGUGGAAAAGCAAGGGAUAUUUAAACUUGACUGAAACAAGUGGAGGUGGCUAUAAGUGAAUUGUUUUUGAGUGAAAUCUUGCAGUUUCACAGGGUAGAAUCAUAGAAUCACCACGGUUGGAAAUGACCACCAAGAUCACCUAGUCCAUCCCUACUAAACCAUGUCCCUUCGUAUCAUAUCUAAACGUUUCUUGAACAUGUUUGGUACAUUUGGUACUCAAAAUACAGAUUUCAUAAGAAAACACAGAUUUAUUUUUCUUAAAAAAAAAUAAAAAAGCAAAACAAAAUGGAGACGUGAUAAAAAUUGCGAUAAAAACUACUGUAGUCAUGAGUAAAGCUCUUCCUGGUCAGGGA